Small nuclear RNA from Pan troglodytes (chimpanzee), 153 nucleotides. Its record names the gene U1. It matches the Rfam family "U1 spliceosomal RNA". From Rfam's summary of the family: U1 is a small nuclear RNA (snRNA) component of the spliceosome (involved in pre-mRNA splicing). Lineage: Eukaryota; Metazoa; Chordata; Mammalia; Primates; Hominidae. The record is from Ensembl.
AUACUUACCUGGCAGGGGAGACACCAUGAUCACAAAGGUGGUUUUCCCAGGGCAAGACUCAUCCAUUGCACUCCAGAUGUGACCUCUAUGAUUUCCCCAAAUGUGAGAAACUUGACUGUAUAAUUUGUGAUUAUAAUUUUUUAAUUAAAAAAU